UGAGUAAUCUGCCCUCCACUUUGGGAUAACCUCGGGAAACCGGGGCUAAUACCGGAUACUCUCAUCGAACCACAUGGCUCGAUGAGGAAAGCUCCGGCGGUCUGGGAUGGGCCCGCGGCCUAUCAGCUUGUUGGUGGGGUAACGGCCCACCAAGGCGACGACGGGUAGUUGGCGUGAGAGGGUGACCGGCCACACUGGGACUGAGACACGGCCCAGACUCCUACGGGAG
This 229-nucleotide ribosomal RNA is filed under the name uncultured bacterium. RNAcentral's name for it is "partial 16S ribosomal RNA". It matches the Rfam family "Bacterial small subunit ribosomal RNA", at positions 118 to 347 of the family's 1533-position model. The record is from RNAcentral.